AGCCUUAAGCUUGUCGCCUUUUCGAAGCACUGACAGAUGACGUCUGGUUCUUCUGACAUAAUUUAUAACUACAGCAAUGGUCCUCUCCUUCAACCCCUGCCUUUCGGAUAUAUGCUGUUAAAAUGGACAUCAGAAGUGAAUUUUUGGCAUCUCUAUGAAAAUGAUGCCAAGUUUGUGGCAAGAGAAGAAAGAAAGAGCCAAGACCUGACAUCAUGGAGGAGUUCCGUUCCAUUCUAGCCUGGGAAAAUGGCCGGAGAAUCAAGAGCCAUUUUGUUUUACCAUCACCAAGACUUAUGUAUGUAGAGUCAUUCAUGAGUUCCAGUCCUCCCUACUCAAGGACCUUGUUGGACUAUCUUCAGUGCCACACCCCCUCAAAGCCACACCCCAGAGCCUCGCCCCUGUUUCCACUCUACUGCUUGGCCUUCAGGUUCACAAACCCCUACCUGUAGGUGCACCAAUCUUUGCCUCUGCAUCUGAGUGACAAGGAAGCCGUCAGACGCACAAUAAGUGGAUGGCAAAAUAAAGUCCAAGCUCUCGUUCAACAUUAGACUCAAGAUGUCUCCUGGGGUUGCGGCAGAAAAUAAAUGACUGAUGCAAAGCCUUCUUUCAUCAAGCCAAAAUUGGAGAUGGCUCCUGAUUCCAAUAAAUUGGGAGCACAGGCCUACGCUACAUUUUUUGCUUGAAAUUCCAUACCUGCAUCUGCGGAAGCUCCGUUUACCUGCAGUUGAAUGGACUAUUAAGUUACAUGUACAUGUAAUCAACAUCAACCAGAUUUAAACAAGAGCUAUGCUCCAGAUUUUAACCUGCUCUCUGAUACACCACUGCCCUUGUCUACUCUAGCAGCUCGGAAUAGAUCAGCUCACCUGUGACCUAAUAGAAACCGGUAAUCAAGAAUUCAAGCUUGAUUCAACUUUCAACUGAUCAGAUCAAGCCUGAUGCCCAGAGAUUUGAACCACUGUGAAUCUUCUACCACUGGUACCAAUAACAUCUUCCCAUUGCCCCUGACGACUGGACUGCAGCAGCUCCGAACAUCAGAUCAGGGUCCCAUACCAUGAAGCUAGUCUAUUGAUCAUAGGGCUGAUUUUUAUGAUUAAUCACACACCACAAUCAAUGCAAUCAGUCAUUGAAAUCAGCCCCAUAAUCAAUGCAAUCAGUCAUUGAAAUCAGCCCCAUAAUCAAUGCAAUCAGUCAUUGAAAUCAGCCCCAUAAUCAAUGCAAUCAGUUAUUGAAAUCAGCCCCAUAAUCAAUGCAAUCAGUCAUUGAAAUCAGCCCCAUAAUCAAUGCAAUCAGACAUUGAAAUCAGCCCCAUAAUCAAUGCAAUCAGACAUUGAAAUCAGCCCCAUAAUCAAUGCAAUCAGUUAUUGAAAUCAGCCCCAUAAUCAAUGCAAUCAGUUAUUGAAAUCAGCCCCAUAAUCAAUGCAAUCAGUUAUUGAAAUCAGCCCCAUAAUCAAUGCAAUCAGACAUUGAAAUCAGCCCCAUAAUCAAUGCAAUCAGUCAUUGAAAUCAGCCCCAUAAUCAAUGCAAUCAGACAUUGAAAUCAGCCCCAUAAUCAAUGCAAUCAGUCAUUGAAAUCAGCCCCAUAAUCAAUGCAAUCAGUUAUUGAAAUCAGCCCCAUUAUCAAUCGGUAAAGCUUUGUGUUACGGGGCCAUGAUCAUCAGCUCAGCUCACCUGCAAAGCUUGGAUGCGUUGCUACCAGAUCAUCAGCUCACCUCACCUGCAAAGCUUGGAUGCGUCGCUACCAGAUCUUCAGCUCACCUGCCAAGCUUGGAUGAGUAGUAACCAGAUCAUCAGCUCAGCUCACCUGCAAUGCUUGGAUGCUUAGCAACCAGAUCAUCAGCUCAGCUCACCUGCAAAGCUUGGAUGCUCAGCAACCAGAUCAUCAUUCAGCUCACCUGCAAAGCUUGGAUGCGUCGCUACCAGAUCAUCAGCUCAGCUCACCUGCAAAGCUUGUAUGCGUCGCUACCAGAUCUUCAGCUCAGCUCACCUGCAAUGCUUGGAUGCAUAGCAACCAGAUCAUCAGCUCAGCUCACCUGCAAAGCUUGGAUGCGUCGCUACCAGAUCAUCAGCUCAGCUCACCUGCAAAGCUUGGAUGCAUAGCAACCAGAUCAUCAGCUCAGCUCACCUGCAAAGCUUGGAUGCGUCGCUACCAGAUCAUCAGCUCAGCUCACCUGCAAAGCUUGUAUGCGUCGCUACCAGAUCAUCAGCUCAGCUCACCUGCAAAGCUUGUAUGCGUCGCUACCAGAUCUUCAGCUCAGCUCACCUGCAAUGCUUGGAUGCGUCGCUACCAGAUCAUCAGCUCAGCUCACCUGCAAAGCUUGUAUGCGUCGCUACCAGAUCAUCAGCUCAGCUCACCUGCAAAGCUUGGAUGCGUCGCUACCAGAUCAUCAGCUCAGCUCACCUGCAAAGCUUGGAUGCGUAUCAAGUAGAUCGAUCAAGACAAGUCAAGGAUGUCUCCAUGGAGGGGAUCAGAUGAAAAUGUCAACAUUGUUAGACUAAAUAUGGUUGCAAAUGAGAGUGAGUGUACAAUGUUAUUCAUGAGAGCAAAACCCUACAAGGUUCAUCUGGCAGAAGUGGCCCAACAAGAUGGAGCAAGAUUAUAAGGAAGUCAUCAUGAUAGAGGAUUAACUCAGCAUACUCAGGUCAAAGGUCAAGAAGGUGUCCAGAAAUAUGCCACCAGCGCCAUUAUAACAAGGGAGUGAAUGCUAGAAGAGAGACGAACGGAUUCUGAUCCUUGUCAUCUUGCCAAACGUAAAGGACCUAAUGACUUUUCAACAGAGGCAAAGGAAACUGAAGGCUGUGAAAGCACUGAUUGAAUUCAUGUCACUCAGUGUACAACAUGGAUCCACCCCCUAUCUGGUGCUAACCAUCUUCUACGAAUAGAUUAGAGAGCUGGGGAGCGUUUCAUCAACAUUUAUGUUCGACAAGUUUUCAGAUUUGACAACUUUCCCCAAUUCUGAUUGGCUGAGAGGUACUGUUGCUAUGGUAAUUGUCGGAUAAAACAGGACUUGUCAGAUAAAAUCCUUUCAUGAAACGCUCCCCUGGUCUACCAGAGAUGAGAACAUGACCCCAAUCCUCGAGUUUUCAUCUACACGGAAUGUCUGGUGUGAAGGUCUUUGCUGAAGUAUGCUCAACAUAAGAAUGGAUUUGACACCGAAAUCUUCAUAUACACCCUCCAUCUUGUGUUAAUAUUGUAGCAUUCAUGAUAGAGAUAGUUUACAGGGAUAUUCUCUUGACACCAUUCAUUAUCUACACUCUAUGUCUGAUGUUAGCCCUAUUUCAACUGGGCUUUUAAAGAUUUAUCCGUUAAAGAGUGUAGAUGAUGGAAAAUGGUUAAACCUUAGUAAGAUAUUAGUUGAAAUUUGAUGUAAAUUAUCGAGACAUUUUUAGUAUGAAAUAUGUGACUUGCAAAUGCAUUCAUUACUUAAGAUAGAACCCAUUUAAAUUUGAUGAAUAUUGUGUAGCUCUGAGGAGCAGGUCCAAGCUAUUAUAAUUUUAAAAUAGUUUUAGGAGAUAUUUGUGUAGUUAAUAGUUAACUAUAUAACUUUUGUAUUUUUUUAGUUUGUAUUUGUGUUUGUAUUUUACUUAAUAUUUAAAUGUGAACUCUAAGGUUUUCCAGAGUUAUUCCUGAUUGAGUUUUAUCCGUUUUUUUUUCUUUCUUCUUCUUUCCCCCUCUAGAUCUACUUGUCGUACUACUCAAUGGAGGGGAAGGGGGGUUGGGUUGGGGUUGGGCUGACUAUUCUGCAAAAGUGGACCCAAAGGUUUUCCAGAGUUUUUCCUUAUUGAGUUUUAUCUCUGGUUUUUUACCCUGGAUCUACUUGUCGUAGAACUAGUCGGGAGGGGGUGGGGGUUGGGGUUGUCUUAGCGCAAUAAAUCUAAAUCACAAAAAGAUUUUGUAGCAACAUAAAUUACAUAAUCAAUGGAAUCAUUCCUUUUUUUAAAUAACUAUACAAUAUGGUUGAUUGGAACACUUGACUGCCAAGAUCAUCAGAGGAAAAAAGUUUGUAAUAUUAAUGUUUUUAUUUUCAGUAUUACCUAUUUCAAUUGCCAAUUAGAGAAAAGGGUAUUUCAAAUGUACAGAUAUCAUGUGUUUGACAUUGUUAAUCUUGAAUAUUUUUUGUUUAUACCGUACCUAUCAGCCACAAGCGCAGCUCAUUAGCUUAUUAAAUUGAUUAGACUGUUCAUUUUUAUGUGACAAAAUAUUUUAGUAUCAUCUGCAUAAGCAAUUUGAAUUUGAUAUUUCAGAGGAAUCAUUAAAAUGGUCCGAGUACUUCCUUGCGGGACACUGUACGUUAUGGGCAGAAAAUCAUAUUUAACAUUAAUUAAACAAAAGGUAGACUUUUCGUGAACAAAGAGCAAAUUUUCAAACCAUUAAAGCAGCAGACCUGAUGCUGUAGUUCCGAGGAUUUUAGGGUCACAAGGUCAGGUCGCAAUGGCCACAGAGGCUAUUACUUCAAAUUAAUAGAAGUUGGUUGUGUAAUAUAUUCUAUAUUUGGCAAUCAAUUUUGUGCAGUCAAAAAUCCCAUCAGUUUCUAUCAAAUUUAGCAUUGCCCACUACCUAUACUUUUAUUGUUCCAGUCACGUAGGGUCUUUUUGAUUAAGAAAAAAAAAACCUCUACUGUAUUAUUGUUUGAAAAGUGAUUUUAUAAAUAUUAGAUCAUUUUGAAAUUAAUGUAAAGUUUUUCACAGUGUUCCACAAAUAGUUAAAACUGACUAAAAGUCAUGCUUAAUUAUUAAUACGCACAUGAUAAUUUGACUUUGAAGUCUUUUUUCUAAGUACAUGUAUGCAGUAGUGCGUAUCCUCAGAUUCUGAUCCAAACAAUGUGUUAUUUUCCAAUUUCCACAUACAAGUGCAAAAAAAGAGAGAAAUUUUAAUCACUUAAAAUCUUUGUGAAACACCUCAUUGAGUUGUAUCUUCAAGUCAAAUGUUCUAGGGACAGUGAUAUUUCAUUCAUUAGCAAAUCAAAAUGGUAAAUCUGUGUUCUUUAAUUUUCAUGUCUGUAAAAAAUCAAUGAAUUUACCUUUGACAAACGGAAUUUGUUUUUGCUGUGUACAUUUUAAUGACAAAAUGGAUAAUCCAUUUUAGAUCAAAUUUUCAUAAACCGGAAAGACCAUUUAUAAAACCGAAAAUUACUGUCCCUAAUGUCAUGUCAAAUAGCUUGGACCUGCCCUAUACAUGUACAUGUGUAAAAUUUUCAGUACUUUAUACUUACUUUGUAUUUUUGCAUUUCUUUAUGAAAAAACUGAUGUAAGACCAGCAGCCGAGAAGAUUCAUUCAAGUUGGAGGACCAGAGCAUUUGACCUCAUUGAUUGCUGGGGUAGGCCCUAGACCUCACAAACAUGGCCUGCUGUCUGGUUUGAGCUGGGAUCUUCCUGCCAAAAUCACACAAUAUGUGACAUCACUACCAAGAGUUCUAUUUUUCAGUGUGCAGAGGAGGGCACUUGACACUGGUGUGCGUGGUAUACAACCUCUAGAAUGUAAGUGCUUUAUUAAUGAUUUCAAUGAUAUUUUGUGUAGCCGAGAGUAUGUGAGACAAUGCAAUUGGUUUUCCAGCAAUCAUUACUGAGGGCAUUUCUGAUUAGUUUUGGAGAUAUUGGGCAGCAAUUUUACCAACAUUGGGCUUUUUAUCCACGUUUUGCACUUUUUGAUUUAAUUACAUUCUGUGUAAUCCCUGGAAUGAUAUUCUUUGUAUUUUGAAAAUCAGUCAAAAUAAUACAUUCCUGAUGGAAAAUUUGAUAAAUUUGUAGGGGCUUUUGUUGAUCCAUUGAUUGCCAUCUGUAUUUUACCUCCCUGUACUAUAUGUAUUUAUCUGCGCUACCUCUUAAUUCAUCUUUCACAUUCUUGCAACAUGAUAUUCGCCAUGACUGAUAUGAUAAUGUGCUGAGGGGACAAAAACAAUUUUUUUUUCAAUUUUCAAUUAUUUACAUACUUGAUCUCGUUAUUUUUUUAAAUUAAUUAUUUAAUUAAGUAUUGUCAAUUAUUUUGCAAUAUAUUUAUUCCUGUGUUCUGUACAUGUCAAUGUUUUAGACAAACCUAUCAGAGAUACUACUAGUAUUCAAAACUUUAUCUUGAUCUAUUCCCCAUUCACCAUAAAAUUCAUGUUUGUGACGUUUGCUGAGUGUGUAUCCAUCAUGAAAUCAAAGCAAUGUGUAGAGAUUUAGUGGCCUGCAUUGGAAUGACAUAGUGAUGAGGGUGGCUUCUCGAUAUCGGUUAGUCCGCAAAAAAAAUCAAAUGGAAAAAAAAAUGUAUUUACUCAAUUUUGGUUAUCAAGUUUUAACCCAUUUUUAUGAGGAUUGUGUGCUUCAAUGGUUUUUCCACAAUGUGUAAAAAAAAAUGCUCCUCAAUUAAAGCAAUACAUGUACAUGUUAGUCUGAAAUCCAGUUUUAGAAGUGCAAUGUCAAAUUUUGAUUUCUUUCCUGCCAUCAGUUGUCAUUUACUUCUUGAUCCAUAUUACAAGAGCCUUGCCAUUGUAGUGUUUCUAUUUGACCCUUGGUGAGAUUUGUAUUAAGACUUGCAUGAUUGCUAAAUUUCAUCAAUGGAGCUGUUUAGCAAAGACAGCUUUGGGGCCUUGUGGCAUUGAUUAAGAUCGUUCAAGAACCAGUUUGUACUCAGAAUUGACCCAGGUAUCCAUUUGGUCUGCACAAGAAGAGAAGAGAGGAACUGUUGACCUAUCUUUGAACACAGCACUGCUGGCUCUCGGAAAUUUGGUUCAGUUACAUACAUAUUUUUAUUUGGUGUUUGGAAAUCUUGUUAUGUCAGGAUAGCUCAGGUGUUGUCUGACCAAGAUGAAUGGUGUCCUUUUCAGUUUACUUGUGGUAUCCAGAGCUCUUCAAAACUUGCACAUUAUCUUUUGUGUGAAAUCAAAUGCUGAUAUCUUAUGCAAAGCUGCCAACCAGUAAAUUUUUGCCAAAAUUAGUAUAUUUUUUCCAAACAAAAUAUGGCAUUUUGUUUUUCUUCAUAAAAUGAAUGAAAAAAAAAUCAUGUCAUUGAGAAAAUUACCUCUGUGUAUAUCUCUAUUUCAUAAAACUUAUACAAGUAUGGUUCAUGGGAUAAACUUAAUUUCAGGUAACUUUCAUCUAACAGUUUUUUUUUUUUUUCUUUUUCCAAUCAGUAAACUUGAACCAUUUUGUUAAAUCCACAGUGAGAUAGCAUUAUUAAUUCUAAUGUUUUCAGUUUACAAGAGCAGUGCACAUUUUGGCAUAGAAUACAUUUCCCCCCCCCCCUUUUUUUUUUUGGGGGGGGUGAACGAAAAUACAGUUUGGGGAUCAAAGAAUAUAAUUAUUCAUUCCCAGAGGUUGGCAGGUUUGUUUAUUAGGUGCUGUGCCUUUGAUUGUUUUACCAAAGUAUGAUGCCAUGCUUAUGGUCUGAUGAGGAUAUUAAUUGUUUCGUUUGCUAGACAUCAUGGCACUCUGAUAUGCAUAGCCCUCGUCAUCUAAACUUAUCACCAUCUGGGAUUGUCUUUUUCUGAUAUCCAAUGAGAGUGUUGGCUUCUUUGUGGUCGCAUGUGGAUAGAGACCUAAGUUUUCCAUUUUCUAAACUGCCGAUUCUGUGUCCUUUGUUCUAAACAUCACAAUCUGUGUUCAUCAGUGACAUAUCCCUGGAUAUCUUGCACCAUCUGCAUUGUAAAAUCUUUCCUGGGAACUUGCAAGUCUUUCAGUGUCUUUAUAAUGAUGUAUAGGUCAUAUUUGCAGACCAUCAUAGAGCUGGUUCCUGCUUCUUUAUUGUUCAUCUUAUCAGUAUCGGGCGAGGUUGAAGGUUCUCAGCCACGUUCUUGGGCUUGACAUGAGGUGCUGACCGUGCUGUAGGGCUGUUCAUCCGCCUUCUGGUCCUUGAGUGUUGCAAAGAUCCACCCGAUCGUCCAAUUCAUGUUUUUUCAAUCAUUGAAUCGUCUGGCAGUUUUUCCCUAGGGAAGUCGUAUCCUGUGUGAACGAGAAGUGCAUUUAUUCACUUGGCUGGAGAGAGGUUACAAUGUUCAAGAAGGCAUUUGGUGGAACUUGGCAUAUCUGAUUUGGUUGAUCCCAUUGUCUUUCAAAUUCACAUUAGCUCUUUUCUUGGCUUAAAAAAGAGCUGCUUCAUGACCCAAGAGGUGACCUGAGAAUCUUGAUUAUGGUGAUUGAUGAAAGAGGCUUCAAAGGAGAUUAUUUUUCUGUUUAAUUUCUUCCAACUGGAGAUUUCAUUGGAUGCCAUCUGAAAUUUGACAUUGCUUCCCUAGACCCUUUGGCUAAGAAAUGUUUUUUGCUUUCAGUCUAGAACGAGUUUGUGAAGUUUAAUUGGGUGCUGUCUGUGAAAAUUUGACAUUGCGCUUCACUACUAGGGUUCAUACAUUGUACUGUAAUGAUUGAUGGAGCAUUAUAAGUUAUUGUGGGAUAUAAAGUGCACUUCCUCUGGAUUAGCCUAUGUUGAGGGCUCGAUAAAUAGAUCUAGAUUCACUUGUCGUUUCAUUGCCUUGCCUUGUCUCUCAGAGUUCAUGGUGGAGUGAUGGAGAAGUAGCAAUCACAAAUAUUUGAUUCCUGUAUGGUGGUGAAUGAAUUCAUAUGGGAAAACAAAAAAAGCAUAUAUAAAAAACGUCCCGUCCCCCCCCCCAAAAAAAAAAAAAGUGUCCAUGUUGGUUUCUUUCUAAAUAUUUGACCAACAUGCAAUAUACAUUUGAGUUCAUAAAAGAAUUGCAUCAUGUACAGAAAGGGUGUAUUUAUUUGCAAAAUUGUUUCAUUUGCACAUUUGAUAAGAAAGCCCCCCCCCCCUCAAAAAAAAAGAUUAAUAAAUAAAUAAAAUUAUAACUAUGAUAAAUAACUGAUAAUAAAUGAAUAAAAUUUAAUAAUAAAUACCAAAUUAAUCAAUUAAAAAAAUGAAAUUUAAAAAUGAAAAAGAAUAGAAAGUAAUUUUAAAAUUAAAUAUGAAAAUGAAGAAAAAAGAUGUUAAUGUAUAAAUUAUUAAGAUAAAUGAAAUGAUACAAAUACAUAAAUAAAUAAAGAUAUAAAAGUAAUUUGUAAUAAUACUCAUAAAUUCUAUUUUUUAAGAAUUUAAAAGACUACUUAAAUAUCAGUCAUGGCUAGUAAAUGUUGAAUGAUGUGAAAUGAAGGCAGAUAUGGGGAGUGUUUCAUGGAGAGGUUUAUCAGUGAUUUUCACUGAUUAGCUCUCAGCCAAUCAGAUGCAAGGAUUUUUAGUCGGUGAAAAUCACAGACAGAAAUCUUCAUGAAACGCUCCCUAAGAUGGACAGUACAGGGAGGUAUGGAGAAAGGUCACACUCAGUGGAUUAACUGGUAUAUAUGUAGAGGGGAGGGGGUGGUAAUGAAGAAGAGGGUUUUGUUCUAGACCAAUUCUGGGGGGGGGGGGUAGAAAAUCAAUGCAUUGUCUUGCAUACAUUUGGCUACACAAAGUAGCAUUGAACUUGGAAAUAAAGCACCUACAUUAAAGAUGUUGUUUGCCAUGCAUGGCAGUGUCCAGUGCCUUGCUCUGCACACUGAGGACUAUUGGUGGCGCUGUUACACAUUGUGUGAUUUCUGUCAAGAAGACCUCAGCUCACAUUAGGCUGUUGGCCAUUUUGUGAGGUUUAGGGGUUUACCCCAUUGUCUCAAGAGGUCAUUUGCUCUGGUAACCUCUUUACUUGAAUGAAUCUUCUUGGCUGCUGGUCAUUUUUUUUUGUAAUUAUUUUUCUUUGACAAAAUUGAUAAUAAACCCCUUUAAAAAUGAAAAA
Lytechinus pictus (painted urchin) is the source of this 9692-nucleotide long non-coding RNA. RefSeq lists it as uncharacterized. The record is from RefSeq and is a predicted model, not a curated record. Lineage: Eukaryota; Metazoa; Echinodermata; Echinoidea; Temnopleuroida; Toxopneustidae. The transcript has 9 exons.